GGAUUGUAGUCUGNAACCCGACUACAUGAAGCUGGAAUCGCUAGUAAUCGCGGAUCAGAAUGCCGCGGUGAAUACGUUCCCGGGUCUUGUACACACCGCCCGUCACACCAUGGGAGUCGGAAAUGCCCGAAGUCUGUGACCCAACCUUAGGGAGGGAGCAGCCGAAGGCAGGUCGGAUGACUGGGGUGAAGUCGUAACAAGGUACC
Molecule: ribosomal RNA, 206 nt
Filed under: uncultured bacterium
Lineage: Bacteria
Description: partial 16S ribosomal RNA
Rfam family: Bacterial small subunit ribosomal RNA
Source: RNAcentral